AAGACUGAAUGCUUCCUGCCCCCACCAGCAGCGCCAGUGAACACCGCAGGAUGGAGCAUGGCAGCGGGCUUACCCAGACCCCCAGCUCUGAAGAGAUCAGUCCUACUAAGUUUCCUGGACUGUACCGCACUGGCCAGCCCUCACGUCCCCAUGGCAUCCUCCAUAAGCCUCCUGAUAUAGUGCCUGAUGAUGAGAAAGACCAUGGGAAGAAAAAAGGAAAAUUUAAGAAAAAGGAAAAGAGGACUGACGGCUAUGCAGCCUUUCAGGAAUAUAGCUCUGGAGAUGAGGCAGAAAGUCCUUCCAAAAUGAAGAGGCUCAAGGGAAUCCAUGUUUUCAAGAAGCCCAGCUUUUCUAAAAAGAAAGAGAAGGAUUUUAAAAUAAAACAGAAACCCAAAGAAGAAAAGCAUAAAGAAGAAAAGCACAAAGAAGAAAAACAUAAAGAGAAGAAGUCAAAAGACCUGACAGAAGCUGAUGUUGUUAAACAGUGGAAGGAAAAGAAGAAAAAGAAAAACCAAUUCAGGAGCCAGAGGUGCCUCAGAUUGAUGUUCCAAAUCUCAAACCCAUUUUUGGAAUUCCUUUGGCUGAUGCAGUAGAGAGGACCAUGAUGUAUGAUGGCAUUCGGCUGCCGGCCAUUUUCUGUGAAUGUAUAGAUCACUUAGAGAAGUAUGGCAUGAUGCGAAGGCAUCUACAGAGUAUCAGGAAUUGAAUCAAAGGUGGAUGAGCUAAAAGCAGCCUAUGACCGGAAGGAGUCUACCAACUUGGAAGAAUAUGAGCUUAACACUGUAGCCAGUUUGCUGAAGCAGUAUUUGUGAGACCUUCCAGAGAAUUUGGUUACCAAAGAGCUUAUGCCGAGAUUUGAAGAAGCUUGUGGGAGGACCACGGAGACUGAGAAAGUGCAGGAAUUCCAGCGUUUACUCAAAGAACUGCCAGAAUGUAACUAUCUUCUGAUUUCUUGGCUCAUUGUGCACAUGGACCAUGUCAUUGCAAAUGAACUGGAAACAAAAAUGAAUAAACAGAACAUUUCUAUAGUGCUCAACCCAACUGUGCAGAUCAGCAAUUGAGUCCUGUAUGUGUUUUUCACACAUGCGCAAGAACUCUUUGGAAAUGUUGUACUAAAGCAAGCGACGAAACCUCUGCGAUGGUCUAACAUGGCCACGAUGCCCACGCUGCCAGAGACCCAGGCAGGUAUCAAGGAGGAGAUCAGGAGACAGGGUUUUCUUUUGAAUUGUUUACAUCGAUAUCUGCAGUGUGGGAUAAAGGAUUUAUCUAAAGAAGAAAGAUUAUGGAAAGUCCAAAGAAUUUUGACAGCCCUCAAAAGAAAACUGAGAGACGCUUAAAGACAGGAGUGUGAAACCAAGAUUACACAAAAGAUAGCCAGUCUUUUAAAAGAGGAUGUUUCCAAAGAAGAGAUGAAUGAAAAUGAAGAAGUUAUAAAUAUUCUCCUUGCUUGGGAGAAUGAGAUCCUGACUGAAUAGGAGGAGCUCCUGACCAUGGAGCAGUUUCUAUGCCGGCAGACUUCCUCAGAAAAAGAAGAGAUGGGAUGCCUCAGAGCCGAGAUUGCUGAAAUUCAGAGUCACCAGCAGCACGGCCGAAGUGAGACUGAGGAGUACUCCUCCGAGAGCGAGAGUGAGGAUGAGGAGGAGCUGCAGAUUAUUCUGGAAUAUUUACAGAGACAGAACGAAGAGCUGGAAAUAAAGAGCAAUCAUUUGAAUCAAGCAGUUCAAGAGGAGCGCGAGGUCAUCAUCGAGCUGCGCGUACAGUUCCGGCUGCUCCAGAUGGAGGGAACCAAGGCUGAGCAGCAGGUGCAGGAGGACCAGGAGCCUGAGUGGCGCGGUGGUGCCGUCCAGUCGCCCAGAGACUGUGUCCUCAGGCCAAAAGAAGCUAAAGAGCAGCCAAAGGCAGGCAAAGAGCCGGUGAAGCCAUCACCCAGCAGGGACAGGAAGGAGACGUCCA
RNAcentral lists this long non-coding RNA (1953 nucleotides) under Homo sapiens (human). Its description in RNAcentral is "non-protein coding lnc-TTC14-6:1". Lineage: Eukaryota; Metazoa; Chordata; Mammalia; Primates; Hominidae. The record is from RNAcentral.